RNAcentral lists this non-coding RNA (186 nucleotides) under Clostridia bacterium. Its description in RNAcentral is "6S RNA". It matches the Rfam family "6S / SsrS RNA". From Rfam's summary of the family: E. coli 6S RNA was the first non coding RNA to be sequenced, but its function was unknown until recently. It consists of 184 nucleotides that fold into an extended hairpin structure with a large single-stranded internal bulge. The record is from RNAcentral. Lineage: Bacteria; Bacillati; Bacillota; Clostridia.
UAUUUCCUGCGGUGUGCGACAACUGCGACUAAUACUAACCCUAUGUCAAAUAAAAGGGAGUCCGGACUUCUGACGGGGAUUGCAGACCUCCCGCUUCGGCGGACGAAGGGAGCGUGAAACGUUGGAGAGGACACCCACCUGCUAAGAGCAGGUUACUAUUAUCGCAACCGGCACUGUGGGAUAACC